This 434-nucleotide ribosomal RNA is filed under the name uncultured Lachnospiraceae bacterium. Its description in RNAcentral is "partial 16S ribosomal RNA". It matches the Rfam family "Bacterial small subunit ribosomal RNA", at positions 341 to 792 of the family's 1533-position model. Lineage: Bacteria; Bacillati; Bacillota; Clostridia; Lachnospirales; Lachnospiraceae. The record is from RNAcentral.
ACGGAAGGCAGCAGUGGGGGAUAUUGCACAAUGGGGGAAACCCUGAUGCAGCGACGCCGCGUGAGUGAAGAAGUAUUUCGGUAUGUAAAGCUCUUUAAGUUGGGAAGAUAAUGACGGUACCAACAAAAUAAGCCCCGGCUAACUACGUGCCAGCAGCCGCGGUAAUACGUAGGGGGCAAGCGUUAUCCGGAUUUACUGGGUGUAAAGGGAGCGUAGACGGCAUAGCAAGUCUGAAGUGAAAUCAUAGGGCUCAACCCUGUAAUUGCUUUGGAAACUGUUAAGCUCGAGUACCGGAGGGGCAGGCGGAAUUCCUGGUGUAGCGGUGAAAUGCGUAGAUAUCAGGAAGAACACCGGUGGCGAAGGCGGCCUGCUGGACGGUAACUGACGUUGAGGCUCGAAAGCGUGGGGAGCAAACAGGAUUAGAUACCCUGGUA